AUCCACCUGACGUGUCCCAAAUAAGACGAAGCAUGCGUCCUGGAU
This is a non-coding RNA of Schistosoma haematobium, 45 nucleotides long. NCBI's taxonomy places the organism in Eukaryota, Metazoa, Platyhelminthes, Trematoda, Strigeidida, Schistosomatidae. The record is from Rfam.